Molecule: long non-coding RNA, 648 nt
Organism: Talpa occidentalis (Iberian mole)
Lineage: Eukaryota; Metazoa; Chordata; Mammalia; Eulipotyphla; Talpidae
Exons: 7
Source: RefSeq, a predicted model, not a curated record
UCCCGGGCCGGGCCGCGGCCCCCUGUGGAGCAGCCGCCAGGGUUACCUUGCGCUUUAUUUACAUGGCACAGAGGACACGGAAAAGUUGAAGAUCACUCUUUGAUUAUGGUUAUGAAGUUUAUCAUACAAGUACAGAAAAACACAAAAACAUGAAGGAGCCAUUCAAACUAAGAUCCAUGAAAGGAUUAUUUUCAGCAACCAUUAAAGCACCAAUAAGGGAAUGAUGAAUGAGAUGCCUGCCUUUGGGAGAAAUAGUUGGUGCAACGAAGAAAUAUGAAGAGGGAGAGAGAGAAGGGAAAAAAAAAGACUAAUUUCCGAGGUGAGGUAUGCAAUGAGAUUCCUAAAUGAGUUCUAGGAUCUAAGAUUACAACUUCUGCACCUCAGCCUUGGCAACUUCCUAGAACCCGUGAAGUCAUGAAAAACAUCUUUCUGCCUGCAUGGCACAGAGAACUAAAUCAUCAACUUCUGCUUCUUUUAUAAUCCAAAGCUGACAAACUCUAAACUUGAUGUGGAAAUCAAGACAGCAAUUUGCUCCUACAACAUUGGAACAUAAGACUGAAACUUGAAAACAUGAUCACCUCUAAUAAAAUGUGUACCACAGAACAAAGAACAGAGCAGGUAAUCAAGAUGGCUGGAUGGACAGAAGGA